Molecule: small RNA, 148 nt
Filed under: Macaca mulatta (Rhesus monkey)
Lineage: Eukaryota; Metazoa; Chordata; Mammalia; Primates; Cercopithecidae
Description: Metazoan signal recognition particle RNA (ENSMMUG00000051361.1)
Rfam family: Metazoan signal recognition particle RNA
About the family: The signal recognition particle (SRP) is a universally conserved ribonucleoprotein. It is involved in the co-translational targeting of proteins to membranes.
Source: Rfam by way of RNAcentral
GCCAGGUGUGGUGGCGCACACCUGUAAUCCCAGCUCCUGGGGAGGCAGAGGUGGGAGGAUUGCUUGAACCUGGGAGGCAGAGGUUGUAGUGAGCUGAGAUGGCACCACUGCACUCCAGCCUGGGUGACACAGCAAGACUCCAUCUCAU